CAGUAGCCACGGUAAUACGGAGGGUGCAAGCGUUAAUCGGAAUUACUGGGCGUAAAGCGCACGCAGGCGGUUUGUUAAGUCAGAUGUGAAAUCCCCGGGCUCAACCUGGGAACUGCAUUUGAAACUGGCAAGCUAGAGUCUCGUAGAGGGGGGUAGAAUUCCAGGUGUAGCGGUGAAAUGCGUAGAGAUCUGGAGGAAUACCGGUGGCGAAGGCGGCCCCCUGGACAAAGACUGACGCUCAGGUGCGAAAGCGUGGGGAGCAAACAGGAUUAGAUACCCCUGUAGUCCCUGUCUCUUAUAA
Molecule: ribosomal RNA, 301 nt
Filed under: uncultured bacterium
Lineage: Bacteria
Description: partial 16S ribosomal RNA
Rfam family: Bacterial small subunit ribosomal RNA
Source: RNAcentral